AACAGGCUCAGCUUAGAGGUACAAAUUGAAUUUAUUACUAACAAAAUCAGAUGAGGAGAAUAAGAAGUAAAUUAAGCCCUUAAAAACACCUUUUUCCCCCCUAACCCCUCCCUCCUUCCCACCAGCAGUGCAACAAGACAGGGCCUGGAGGGUUUGGUCAGUUCAUCACCCCAGGUUUUCUUCCACUGCUCAGGGAGAGGGGUCCUUCCCCUGCAAUGCUGUGGGGUCCCUCCCACAUGAGUCAGUUCUCCACGAACUUCUGCAGUGUGGUUCCAAUCUCUGUGGUUCCAAGCAGCAGCUCCCUGUGACCUGCUGCAACAUCAGCCCUCCCACAGACACACAGUGCUCCCCAAACUGCUGCAGCGUGGGUCACUCUUCCACGGGGUGCACUCCUCCAAGGACAGGCUGCUCCAGCCUGGAAGGAAGGGCCCCCUCUCUCCACCAGGUCUGCAAGGGGCUCACAGCCUGCACCAGUACCCACCUGCUCUGGCCUGGGCACCUCCCACACAGGCUGUGGGUGGAUCUGCAUCCCCACGGACCCCACGGGCUGCGGGUGGAUCUGCAUCCCCACAGACCCCACGGGCUGUGGGUGGAUCUGCAUCCCCACAGAUCCCCACAGGCUGUGGGUGGAUCUGCAUCCCCACGGACCCCACAGGCUGUGGAUGGAUCUGCAUCCCCAUGGACCCCCACAGGCUGUGGGUGGAUCUGCAUCCCCACGGACCCCACAGGCUGUGGGUGGAUCUGCAUCCCCAUGGACCCCACAGGCUGUGGGUGGAUCUGCAUCCCCACGGACCCCCACAGGCUGUGGGUGGAUCUGCAUCCCCACGGACCCCACAGGCUGUGGGUGGAUCUGCAUCCCCACAGACCCCCACAGGCUGUGGGUGGAUCUGCAUCCCCAUGGACCCCCAUGGGCUGUGGGUGGAUCUCUGCAUCCCCAUGGACCCCCACAGGCUGCAGGGGGAACAAUCUGCUUCACCACGGCCUGCAGAGGAAUCUCAGCUCCAGCACCUGGAGCGCCUCCUUCCCCCUCCUUCUGAACUGACCUUGGUGUUUCCCUCACAUGUUCUCACCUCCUCCUCUUCUCUGGCUAGAAAACUGUGCCCCACUUUGUUUUGAUUUUUUUUCCUAAAUAUUUGUUAUCACAGAGCCAUUAUCAUCAUCUCGCAUUGGCCCAGCCUUGGCCAGCAGCAUGUCCA
RNAcentral lists this long non-coding RNA (1196 nucleotides) under Zonotrichia albicollis (white-throated sparrow). RNAcentral's name for it is "lncRNA (ENSZALG00000016605.1)". The record is from RNAcentral. Lineage: Eukaryota; Metazoa; Chordata; Aves; Passeriformes; Passerellidae.